GAUGAACGCUGGCGGCGUGCCUAAUACAUGCAAGUCGAGCGAACGGACGAGAAGCUUGCUUCUCUGAUGUUAGCGGCGGACGGGUGAGUAACACGUGUAUAACCUACCUAUAAGACUGGGAUAACUUCGGGAAACCGGAGCUAAUACCGGAUAAUAUUUUGAACCGCAUGGUUCAAAAGUGAAAGACGGUCUUGCUGUCACUUAUAGCUGGAUCCGCGCUGCAUUAGCUAGUUGGUAAGGUAACGGCUUACCAAGGCAACGAUGCAUAGCCGACCUGAGAGAGUGAUCGGCCACACUGGAACUGAGACACGGUCCAGACUCCUACGAGAGGCAGCAGUAGGGAAUCUUCCGCAAUGGGCGAAAGCCUGACGGAGCAACGCCGCGUGAGUGAUGAAGGUCUUCGGAUCGUAAAACUCUGUUAUUAGGGAAGAACAUAUGUGUAAGUAACUGUGCACAUCUUGACGGUACCUAAUCAGAAAGCCACGGCUAACUACGUG
Molecule: ribosomal RNA, 497 nt
Filed under: uncultured bacterium
Lineage: Bacteria
Description: partial 16S ribosomal RNA
Rfam family: Bacterial small subunit ribosomal RNA
Source: RNAcentral